AUUCACAGGCAGUUGGUUAUGCCAAAAGAAGUAGGAGUUAAUAUCUGCAUUUUACUGCUGAUAAAAUUCACUCAAAAAAUUACAACCUAACCAAGACGAAGACUCUAGCAAGGUUAGAAGAGAAACGUGACUCCACAUCUGUUGGGCUCCAGAGCCUGCAGAUGAGGUUGCUUUAGUGAUUAAGGGAGCUGGAGUUCCUUCUAGCCAAGGACUUAAGGUUCUUACGAGUCCUUGAAAAUGAGUCAGUGGUGGAAUGUUUUAGACAGUGGGAACUUAUAUGUGCAAAGUUUUGGAAAUCAGAAAUACCAGAUACAUUUCUGAGAAGGCCGGUCCUCCAUACCAAAACAUUCUUCCCUCCAGUUUUCAGUGAGAAGACUGAGCAGGGUGGAGACGAAAAGCAAUAGCUUACAGCUGGAGAAGUAGUUUGGGACUCAUCUCCGCUUAGACUGACCCCAGCUGAAACUACAGCUCAAGAGGUAUGAGGAAUCAGUGGGUCGGGAGCAGGUGGCCCACUGGCUGAAGGUGCGACGCUGCUGCUGUCCAGUCCCAGGCUUGUCACCAGCCUCACCCAAGAGCACUCCCUGAGCUGUGUGUGCGUGAUGUCUGACACUGAAACCCACAACACGCAUUCUCCCACUGCUCAUCCCCGACUCUACAGAGCAUCAAGCUAUUGCCUUGUUAUCCUCUUCCCAGGGUUGUUUUCAAACUCUUCACGUUGUCUGACUUCAUACCCAGCACAUCCUCUAAGACCUGCAAUGACUGCUUCUCAAUUCUUACUGUUUUUUGUCACUUUUCUUUCAAUCCGAUUCAAAAAAUGUUUACCCAGCUCCAUGCCAAAUCCAGGAACUAUGCUAAGAAUUGGAAUUUAAAAGAAAAUAAGGCAUGAACCCUAUUCUCAGGGAAGUCACAGUCUAAUGAGGAAGAACAUCACACAGUACAUCACAUUAAUACAGGACUGUGAGCACAACAGAAGAAUUAAGCACCUGCCAGGGCAGAGGGGAUGUGGAGGAAGGGAGCCUGGGGAAUGAUGGCUGGUAGUGACUGAUAGUGAUAAUUGCUUUCAAUACACAAUGUGUUUAUGCUAGAUAACACUGAAUCAGCGUAAAUAAAACAAGUGCUGUAUUAUGAGGGGAAAUUAAUGGAACCAUAACCAAGUUAGGACACUAAGCCAAUUCUGCAAAUCUUUAACAGAUCAAAUAGCCAAGAAUAAAUGGGUUAUAGGGAAACUGAAUAAUACAGUAAAUAAAGUUUAUUUGCUAGAUGUAUAUAUUUUAUACUUCACAGUCUUUUUAAAUGGCCGUAGGAUAUUGGAAACAAAAUAAAACAUAUUACAUUCUAGACACACACAGACCCUUAACACAGCCUAAAAGCUGAAAUUAUAUUAAAAUAAAACAUAAAUUAAAAUUAAUGCUUUUAUGGGUCUUUGUAAAUAUCAAUAAAACAAACAACAUUCUGAUAAAUUUAACUAAG
Molecule: long non-coding RNA, 1470 nt
Filed under: Equus asinus (donkey)
Lineage: Eukaryota; Metazoa; Chordata; Mammalia; Perissodactyla; Equidae
Description: lncRNA (ENSEASG00005034826.1)
Source: RNAcentral